Molecule: long non-coding RNA, 10787 nt
Filed under: Homo sapiens (human)
Lineage: Eukaryota; Metazoa; Chordata; Mammalia; Primates; Hominidae
Description: HSALNT0292927
Source: RNAcentral
ACAGAGAGACUCCGUCCCAAACACAAACAAGCAAACAAACAAACAAAAACAAAAGAAGUAAAAAGAUUCUGCUAAAAGCAACCUUUAUAGUGCUUCAGAAAACUUACACAGUUUUCUCUGUCCAUUAUUUUUGUCAGAGUUGGGGAGGGGUUAUUUGUUUUUGAGUAUGUGCAUGUGUGUGUGUGUGAGAGAGAGAGAGAGAGAGAAAAGAAUAGAAUAGAAUCCUAACAAUCUAUAAUGAGAAGAAAGCUAAAUGAUCUAGUCCAGUGUUUUCAAAAAUUUAUUUACUUAACCCCCACAGUAAUGAAAACAUGUUCCACUGGACCCAGAAUACAGAUACACAUAUAAAAAUCAAAAGUGAAGUAUUUUACAAAAAAAAGCAGAAACAAACUAAAAUACCUAUUCUUCCUGUAUGUAAGGAGCCCUACUUUUUUUACCGCAUUCAAUUUCAUUUUUAGAAUGCUUGUCAAGACCCUGUAAAUUGAUUUCCUGACUGAUUAAUGAGUUGUUGCCUGCAGUUUGAAAAAUACUAAUUUAGUUCAACUUUCAUUCUGAUUCAGAAAGCUUUUCCUAAUUACAGAUUAGUAAAGCAAUAUCUCUAAAUUAGUACAUAGAUCCCUUUCUCUGUAGACCUCACCUUUCUGAUGCAAUGUCCCAAACAUAUCUGCCUAAUUCCUUUACAUACAGACCAAGGAGCUGCUAACAUCAGGUGUACAUAGAGGAGACUUCAUUAAGCUGAGAAUCAGUGAUCUGGAGAAAGCAGAACAUUGGCCUCUCAGACCCCUGGGAUUUUCUACUAGAAAAGCUUGAAAGUCCAAAUAGAUCCAAAUUUGAAGUCCAAAUAAUAGAUCUGAAAGAUUCAAAGUUUGGGUGGGUGACAGAAAGAACCUUGUCAUAGGAUUUGAGAGACCUGAAACUCGACCCAUGUGACCUGAGCUUCCCAAAUACUGAGCCAUGGAGCAGUUGCCUUAGAAUCGCCUGGAGACCUUUUUAAUGUAUAAAUUCCUGGGCCUCAAUCCAAGAAUUAUGAUGGAAAUAUGAACAUUUUAAAAGCUCCCUGCAUGAUCCACAUGUGACCAUGAUGGGUAAUUUCUGAUUUGGGCUUUCUGAACCCCGGGAACUUCUUCUAGAGAAUGGUGGUAAGAUCUGCCUCCCUGCCAUGAUUGUUAUGGAGAACAAAUGAAAUACUGGAUGUAUGACGAGUUAAUGGUUGCAGCACACCAACAUGGCACAUGUAUACAUAUGUAACAAACCUGCACGUUGUGCACAUGUACCCUAGAACUUAAAGUAUAAUAAUAAAUAAAUAAAUAAAUAAAUAAAAAGAAAUACUGUAUGUAAAAGCCCCAAAACAGUCAAAAGCCCUACAGGUGCAAGAUACUAACGUAAAGAUAUAUCUAAUGCUCUCUCCUGGCUCACCUCGAAAAUUACUAAUAAUAACUAGAUGUCUAAAAAGAGAGAUUCUUUUCUUGUAGUAAGUUUGCACAUUUAGCUCAUGGCAAUACCAGAAAUUUCCUAGAACUUAGGAAGAAUAUUUUACAUAAAUUUUUAGAAAUGUUAGGAAAUUAAGCCCUCAAUUAAAACUUUGGCCUCUCUGAAAGAAAAUAACAUUCUGUGCUCUAGUUAUUACCUGUGGGAAACAAUGGGGUUUGUUUUUGUUCUUGUUUUCUCUGCCUUUCAAAUAUAUAUUAGAAGAAAGAUAUAAGAAAGUUCACCUUAUACAUCCUGCAAGUAGGUGAAGCCUAAAUGAAUCAGUCCUAAAAUAGAUGAUAAAUGUUAAGCUAAUGCUUUUUGACAAGCAUUUGUCUUGGAGAAAGAGAAAGAAAUAGAAUGUUCAGUUUUUGAGGACAAGGUAUUAACAGUUUCUCAGGCUAUUUAUGGAAAAAAACUUAUUUCAGUUCUUUCAUGGUGCUUAUCAAGUAGAGAUUUUUAUUUAAUAAGCAUUAGAUGUGUACUAGGGUUAUAUAGAAAUCACAUCCUAUGUAAGAAUUAUAUAUCAAAUCCCAUACUUUCUGAGUGACAGAAUUUGGACAGUAUCUAUGUUAGUGAUCCACAAAGUUAAAUUUUCAUUUUAAAAAUGAGCAAACAAUGCUUUCUCAAUGGUUUCAUAUAUUAUAAAGAAUUAAAGAAUUUUUUAACUGAAACUAAAGGACUAGAAUUAGAAUAUUCACUUGUAUUGCUUCUGAUACAGCAUCAGAAAUAUAAAUCUAGAACCGAUCACACAGACCACACACUGUACUGGAAACACAUUAAGAGCUAUGAAACACAUUGAGAGAUGCUUGAUUAAAAGCUUAAUAUAAAUUCUCAGGGUAGAAAGCCUAAUUUUUUUAAGCAAAAUGAUUAAAGCAAGGUCUAGAAUGGAAGAAUAAAUUAGUUAGAAAAAGAGACCAAUCUAAGUGUGGUUAAGAUUAUUAUCUUUGAUAGAUCUAUGUCUAAACAAUUACUUUCCAACUUUCCCCCAAUAUCUUAAUAACAAAAGUUGCUAUGGAGUAUUUUGUUUUCAUUUUAAAUAGCUAGAUAUAAUCAACACCUAGCUGCUUUAUCAACUUCAGAUGAACUUUGGAAUGUGUUAGUGGAGGGAAUAUACUAAGAAUCGGAAAAGAGUCCAGAGGAUAUGGACUACAGUGUUUUGUCUUCUUUCCUUUUAUUCCAUAAUUGAUCAGAGAAUAACAACACAGAAAUAUGUGUUGGGCAGCACAUUAUAGUUUAUGAAUCCCCGUUAUAUGUGUUAGCUUAUUUCACUUUCAUGGUAACCUGGUGAAAUAGGUAGGAUCUGUCUCUGGAAAAAUAUCUCUAAGAUAUGCUAAAUAUGAUGAGAUGUUUAAGAAGAAAAAGUGCUGGGGAGGGAGGGACAUGUUUCUACCGAUAAAAGAAGUUACUUAAUUUCUCAUCCCUUGGGUUUAUUACCAGAGUUCUGAGUUUCGUCUCAUAAUGUAGCAAAAUAUUCCAUGCAAGAAACCACUAGAAUGCACCAGCAAAAGGAAGAUGCCGAAAUAAUGAAUGAAAAAGCAUUUCCAUCAUGGUCGUCUCAGACAAUGAGAUUCCUCCACAGAGAAACAACAUAGCAUACUACCAAGUCAAAUAACGUGAAAAUACCAAAAGAGUCAAAAUGGACAAUUUAUAUGGUUUAAAUUUUUUAAAAGUCGUUUUCUACAUUAAGCUGUGUAAACUUCAAUCUGAACCCUCACUCUACCAUUGCUUUGUUAUGUGACCUUGACCAAGUCCGUUUAACUUUCUCUCAACCCAUUUUCUCAUCCAAUGGUAAAUAGACAAAAUAAUGCUUAUCUCAUAGGAUGGUUGGGAUGAUGAAGUAUGUGAUGUAAUGAAUAUCCAAUUCACAAACUAUCACCACUUUGUAAAAAUGUGAGUUACUGAAUUGGAUCAGCAGUGGGUUAACUGGUUGUUUGUACAGUCUGAGACAUCUCAGUCUUCUCUGGUCAACCUGUAGCCCCUUACUUCUGACUGUGAAUCAUUUUGAGUUCUUUCCGCUCCCUCAAGCCAACAUCCAAUCAUUCACUUAGUUUUUCCUACUUUAUCUCCUAAAUAAUUCUUUAAUCCACUAUUUUUCUACUUCUCCAUUUCUAUAGCACUGUCCUCUUUUAGGGCUCCCAUCAUAUAUUUUGACUAAAUAGUCACCAUGUUCUCUAAACUGGUCUCCUUAUGUCUAGUCUUUGCUCUUCACUUCAUCUUCCCUGCUAUGUACAAAUCUAACCCCAUAAAUGUUUCACUAACAUUACAUUUGCUUCCCAGGGGCUUUCAACAUGAAGUCCAAGCCACUUCCAUGGAACAAAGGGACCCCCAUGACCUGACCCUUUAGCCCCAUCUCCUGUCACUGUCUUCUUCUUAUUUAGUGUUAUUUACAAAUAGCAAAUAUUUUUAGUUAUUCAUACACAGCAUCCAUUUCAUCCUUCUGUGUAUGACUUUGGGAGACAUCCUCUGAGUAGACAUUAAAGGCUUUUCAUCUGACCAGCCAAUUGCUCUAUGGCAGUAAUUCCCAGAUAAAGCCCCUUACCUUACCCCAGGUACCUCCCUUAAGGGGUAGAGAAAUUUAAAAAAUUAUAAAGGGGGAGUUGUCAAGGCAGAAAAGAGAGAUGUGACACCCCCAAGUCAUCUUCCUAAAGAAUUGUGAUGUGGCUUUGUUUUUAACCUGGAUACUUGAAUUAAGGGGAUUGAUGCCUCAGUCAUUAUAUCAAACUGUGUUUUAAAGGUGUAUGAGAGGAGGCAGUCUGGAUGUCACAAAACUACUGCGCUAUCUAGUGUGUCUCAGAGCCCUUAACAAACACAGCCCAAACAAUGACUCACAACCCCUUUAUAGCCCAAAACAAGCUGGUAUUUUUGUCAUGACCGUUCAUCAAGGUUUUUAUUUUUGAUCCAGAAGGACAUGUAGGUGAAGGCUAAUUUGGUGUCUGAGGGUGAAUGGAAAGAGGAUACAACGUUUUAGCAUUAUUGCUCAAUACCACUGAUUAUGUCUGUGGUUCAAUUAGCCGUGUCUUGAGAGAAAAGGCAGUGUGAGUCUGAACGCUCCCGGACUGAGGCCCAGUUUUCCAGGUAAAGUUUCGAUUGCUUCGCGGUUCAGCCAAGACCACCUAACCUCGAUGUUGGAAUUCACCUGAGUAUUCUAGAAGCUUUGAAAGCUGCAGGUCCAGCAAAAGCACGGUGGCUGUGUAAUAGGAACAGAUGGAUGACUAGACCAGCCAGAGGAAAAAUAAGAAGGUUCCAUGAGGGAGACAUGACAGAGGGCUUGGCUGAUUGACUGUAAUUUACAGCAUCCAUCAUCAUGAGUCCAGAAACAGAUACUGUGUAUUCUAAGCCUGACUCAGGCUCUGAUUCCUUCCAAGGUGUUAAGCAGCUCAUUUAGUAUCUGACGAAGAGUCAUCAUAAUGCUCAGCAUAGCUGGGUUGUCUCUGCCAAGAUAAUUUAUCAUUCACUGUUUUUACACAUUAAUGCAAAAACUAUAUAUAUUGAGUUCCUACAGAGUGAGGGACUUAAGUUGGGGUUUGUGGAUACAUUUAGGCAGCCUGUAAACUCCCAGGAAUGUUAUACACGGAUUAGUAGAUAUGUUCUUGCCUGUAUUUUAUGAGAGGAUUUAUAGCUUUUAUUAGAUUCUCACUGGAGUUUGUGACCAAAAAGAGAUUAAGAGUCACUGCUAUAUGGUGUAAGACUUAUCAUACCAUGUUCAUGAAUAUGUUUUUCCUAGAAUCUUAAAAGACAUACCCUGAUGAAAAAGGGAUUGGAGCCAUGCACUGUUUCUGUGAACUGUACUACGUUGUAAAAGGAAUUUUACUACAUUUGAUUCUCAAUAACAGAAUUCGAGCAGGCAUUCCAAGUUGUUUCUUAAUUGCUGAUGAAACAUGCUUGAGUUUAUAGUACUCUUCUCCUAACCAUAAACUUUUCCUCACUCUCUCAUAUUUCAAAAACGAAACACUGUUUAGUUAUCUCAAAUGAAAAGUGCCUCGAGGACAAGGAACCAGGACUUGGAGUUUUAUCACCCACAGUGUUCAGGUAGCCCAGUAUCCUUGCAUAUGCAUUAUUUAUAAAUAAAACCUGCUAGACACUGGGGUGUGGUCUCAGGCAGACAUGAACAGCAAGCUAUGUCAGAUGUGGCCCACCAUUGGCCACUAGCUGAAUGACAGAGGAUGCACCAUAGCGGUGGAGUGGGUUUGGCUGGAAAUUGAUGGCUGAAAGUAUUUGAAGUGAAAAACCAGAAGUCAUCUUUGUCACUCUGUCACUAAAAUAAAAACUGACAAUUCAGAGAUAGAAACAGUACUGCUUUUCCCCUUGCCCUCUGGCUGGAUAUAUUCUGUGACAGGGGAUUCUCCGAAAGGUCUAGAGUAAUGCCCCACCCCCCUACACCAUCACCACCAGGGGACACCCUCCACAAAGAUGCCUGACAACUGGCCUCUUCAUAUGCUUUAGAGGUGAAGCCUACUUAAAAAGUUAGCACUUGGUGGAAAGGGGAUAUUUGGUUCCCAUUUGCCAUCACUGACAGUUCUUUCUAUUGCUUUUUAUUUUCUCUCUUCAUUUAAAUUUCUUUCUCUAUAACAACACUAGCAAGAAAACUGAGUAGAUCAGACAGAACAGACCAGAUAGAGCAGAUGUUCCCAGGAGUGCUGGGAGAGGAGAAUAGGGGAAGCAUGCGGGGAUCACCAAAGAUCUUGUGAGCUGAGUUCAGCGUGUACAUGGUCAAGGCAUUGUGUACCCCAGAUGCCCACUCCUCAUCCACCCAUCCAGACAGCGUGAAAAUGGGGCAAGAAUACUGGCCUUGGGUUUCCAAGAGUCCAAAUGUGACCCAGGCUCAUCACUAUCUAUCCAUGCCAUGUUGGCAAAUUGCAGGACUUCUCAGAGAGGUCUUCCUCAUCUGCAAAGUGGAGAUGAUUACACCCACUUCACAGUGUAGUACUGUGAGUUUCAUGUGAUAAUGCAUGAAAAGUACAUGGCAGGCAUUUAAUAAAUGCUAGCUUACAGCUAGCUCUUCUUAUUUCACAGAAUCUUAUUUUCUGGGAGAUUAAGAUGUAUCCUUUUAAAACCUCAUAUCUGAUGAUAAUAUUUCUAAUCUGUAAUAUGUGUAUAUAUAUUCUUGCUAAUACAUUUCUUAAGCAAAAAUAAUUACACAUAAUUUGACCUAUAUUUUGAUGAUGAAAAGUUACAUUUUUGUAACUAUUUUAAACCAUUUUAAAAGCGCUUUUUACAUUGAUCAUUGUUUAGAAUAUCAAUUAACACACUGUGCUAUAAUUCAGCAGAGCUACCAGACACUGUUGUUCUGCUUCGGGCUGCUGGCCUAAAGAUAAAAGCUCUCUGGUUUUCUGAAGUAUAUGAUGUUUCAUUUCCCCUCUGGCAGCUCCCAUUAAUACUUAUGUUUAACUUUGCCCCCUUGGCUCAUUCUGAUUUUCUGCUGUUUUUCUAGUCUGGAAAAGAGAUUAACAAGAUUUUCGCUGACCUUAAAACGGGAGGAGGCACUGAGUGAGAGUGUGAGGGUCUCUUCAGUGUUGUAUGGACUCGCCAUGCCUUAUCUCACCUUUCCUUCUGCUUCUUCAUUUACUUUGCUGUAUUUUUAGGGUGUUUGCUGUAUGUAUGAUACAUGCUCUUUUACAAGUGUAGAUUAGCAAGUAAGUAUUUAGUCGAGGUUUUUUUUCUCAGUAAUGGAGGAAGUCUUAAUUUAAAAGCUCCUGGUUUGGUCACUUAUAUCCCACAGGGAUGAAGGUCACUUAUAUCCCACAGGGAUGAAGGUCACUUUUGACACUUGAGCCUUUGCUUGGCUUGGAGCCCUCUUCUCAGUAUGGUGAAUGUUCCAUCUGCAGUCAGGACACUGAACUAGGAUCACCAAUGGGCACAAGAUGAAUGAGAUAAAACGAAUGCCUUCAAUUGGCUUAAAAUCUAAAAGAACAAAGACAAUGUAAACUGUAAUAUGAGGCAAAAUUUGAGAAGUUUUAUAAUGAAGUCUUAAGUGAAAUUUGGAAGAAAGGGAAAAAUAUCCAUUUUGAAAUCCAACUUCCGGCAGGUAUAGUGGGCCAUUUCUGAGCCAGCUUGGGAAGGGGAAGGUUUCUGUGGCCAUAGUUUGAAGACAAAGUCAUCCAAAGAGAGAGUCAUCCAAACAGAAGCAAAUAUGUAGAGCACAAAUGUGCAGACUUGUUUAGGGAAUAGAAAGAAUUUUUGUUUGGUUUCAGAGUGGAGUGCUUAGAGUUACUGUGACAGAUAAAACUGGAGAAAUACAUCAGACCAGGUCCUAAUGCCACACCAAGUAAGGAGUUCUGUGUUCUGGUGACUUCAUAACAGAUUGAAUUCUGCGAAAUCACAGAGGUUUGCACUAGUUAAGCCAAAUGGGAGAACUGAACAAGAUGCAUGGAUGUAUUUAGAUGACUAGCAACUCAACAGAAGAGACUAGAGCUAGCCUCUGGUUUCAACUGAGUUUCAGAGGAGAAAUAUCUGGGCCAACCUGACUAGGAUGCUAGCAAACUUUUGAAUUCAGCAUAUAAUUUAUCUUGUAAAUGUGACUAUUUUAGAAAAAACAAAAUACAUUUGUGGAGAGCACCACACAAUUAACUUCAUUCAGAUUUGGCAUUUGGAUCUUGGCUUUUCUGGAGAUCCCAUUUCUAAUGAUAUCUUAUUCUGGGCUUUUUUUUCAUCAUUAUUAAAGUCACCCUUUACUUUCCUUCUGCCUUUGAAGUUACAAUCUCGUCAGUUCAAAGUCUUUUUAGAGCACUUAACAGAAAAUUUAAUCAAAACGCUGAGCCAAAUUUCAGCUAAAAAGUUAUUAGCGUCACUGGAAAUGUGAGUCAGAUUUUCAGGUAAUGCUAUUCAGCCAAAUAGGGUUCACCACACUGUUCUAGACAUUUAGAAAAUAAUUAGAUAUAUUUAGUGUAGAAGUAGAUACAAAAACCAUACUCAGAAAAACUAAAGCUACUCUAUAUGCUGGAGUACCACAGAAACUAGGUAUGAGUUUGUGUUCUCUCUAGGUAAAGAUAUCAACAUUUGUUUUUCUAUGUGAUUAUAUAUAGUUACUUAUUACACAUAUAUACCUCUCAUAUUUAAUGAAGCAAGUUGGUAAAGCAUACCAAACUGAAGUAAAGGGAUGAAAGUUUGAGACCAGGCUCCCCUAAAAUUUUCUGUGUGGCUGUGGGCCUGUUGUUUGAAUUUCCCUGGAGUUCAGUUUUGCUCAUCUUACCGAACCAGACAUUGAUCUCUUACCUGAUGUUAUGUAAUUUAGCUACCCAUUAGUUGUGUCUUAUCAUUGCCCCUUUCUAAUCCUUCAGUGGAAACUGAUUAAAAGUCACCAUACAAGAACAGGAACUUUUUGCUUAAAUUAGGAUUUUAGCAGGAAAGAGAAGGAAACAAAACACUUUAAAGUCUUCUUCAACCAUCAGCUUUAGGGGAAAAAAGGAAUUCAGUAAGUCAUAGUAUAGAUUUUUUUUUUUUAAUUCCAUCGAUUUUAAGGAUUAUCCUGGGGUCAAAUUUCACAUUCAUAUUCAAUUUCUCAAAAAUAUUUAUUGCAUGAAAAAGAAUUAAAUAAUGGCAUUUGCAGUUACCUGGAUGGAAUUGGAGACCAUUAUUCUAAGUAAAGUAACUCAGGAAUGGAAAAUCAAACAUUGUAUGCUCUCACUCAUAAGUGGGAGCUAAGCUACAAGGAUGCAAAGUCGUAAGAAUGAUGCAAUGGACUUUGGAAACUCGGUGGGAAAGGGUGGGAGGGGGGUGAGGGAUAAAGGACUACAAACUGGGUACAGUGUAUACUACUCAGGUGAUGGAUGCACCAAAAUCUAAGAAAUCAACACUAAAGAAUUUAUUCAUGUAAUCAAACACCACCUGUUCCCCAAAAACCUAUGGGAAUAAAAAAUAAAAAUUAAAAAACCAAAAUAUUUAAUGUGAUAAGUGAUUGAUUUUGCUAAGUUUCUGAAUGCAUGAUUUAUUUAGUCUUCAUAGCUAACCUGUGAGAUAAGAUCCAUUUUGUGGAUAUGAAUACUGAGGCUGAGAGAAGUAUAAGUUUAUUCAUAGUAACAUAAGUAGCAAAUGGCAGAACCAGUUAAUUAUGUGGGAGUAGAGCUCAGGGUUGCAGAGAAGGGAUAACGGGGUUUAAAAACAACAGCUAGUUGACUUCCAAAGAGCCAAGCUUCUCUUCUGUGUAGUGCAGAGCUGUUGCUGGGGAGUGGCUUCACAGCCAGGGACUUUGUUUCCAGUGUCUCCCAUGUAGGUGAGGCCACAUGGUCCAUAAGCCAAACUCUUGCUGGCCAACAGUAUAUAGCACAAUUCUGUCUCUUCCUGGCUGAAGUGGUAAAGUAUCUGAGGUGACUUCUUCACAUUCUCUUCCUUUUCCGUGGCAAUCUUGGAGGCCAUAUCUCAAAGGUGAUAGCUUCAUGCGAUGGGAGAAGUCUAUGUGAACAGAUCGGAUGGACACAAGAAAGAGACCUAACAGCACUCUCUGAUGGUUUGGCUGUGAAAAGAAAGAAUCAAAGAUACUUCUUAGGUUUCUGGAUGGAGCAUCUCGGAGGAUGUUGGCACCAGUUUACUUGGAGAGGGAACGCUGGCAAAAGAACUGGCUGGGGAGGAAGAUGACAGAUUCAGCUUUAGUUUAUACAUGCCUCAUGUGAACACUAGAUUGUCUUGAUAGAUUACUGAAAAUUAAAUGUUACAGAAUCUUAGAGUCAGUAUUAUUCAACAGAAGUUGUCCUAGUCCACUUGUGUUGCUAUAAGGAAAUACCUGAGACUGGGUAGUUUAGAAAGAGAAGGUUUAUUUGGCUUUCGGUUCUGCAGGCUGCACAAGAAGCACGGCACCAGCUUCCAGUGAGGACCUCAGGCUGCUUCCACUCCUGGCAGAAGAUGAAAUGAAGCCAGUGUGUGCAGAGGUCACAUGGUGAGAGAAAGCAAGAGAGAGGAGGGGAGGAGGUGCCAGGUUCUUUUUAACAACCAGCUCUCAUAGAAAUUAACAGAGUGAAAACUCAUCCACCGCUUUGAGAAUGACACCAAAUCAUUCAUGAGGGAUCCUCACCCAUGACCCAAACACUUUCCACUGGCACCACUUCCAACAUCAGGGAUCAAAUGUCAACAUGAGAUGUGGAAGACAAACAUCCAAACUAUAACAGAAGGAAUCGGAAAGCAUACUGUUGGAUGGUUUGUGAAGAGAUGUGGAUUUUCCUCCCCUUUCUGUAUUAACAAAGGAAGAGAAAGACCUUACCAUUUGAAAUGGGUUGGACUCUUUACUUUUAUAUGAUGUAUACUAUGACAGUUUACUAUUUCUCAACUCUCAACUAAAAUGGUAAUAAUAAUUAUAUCAAUAAAUGAUAUUAAUUUUUGCUUGGGUA